CGGUGUCGUAGCUAACGCGUUAAGUGUUCCGCCUGGGGAGUACGCACGCAAGUGUGAAACUCAAAGGAAUUGACGGGGGCCCGCACAAGCGGUGGAGUAUGUGGUUUAAUUCGAUGCAACGCGAAGAACCUUACCAGGGUUUGACAUCCUGCGAACCUCUUAGAAAUUUGAGGGUGCCUUCGGGAAUGCAGUGACAGGUGGUGCAUGGCUGUCGUCAGCUCGUGUCGUGAGAUGUUGGGUUAAGUCCCGCAACGAGCGCAACCCACGUUUUUAGUUGCCAGCAUUUAGUUGGGCACUCUAGAAAGACCGCCGGUGAUAAACCGGAGGAAGGUGUGGAUGACGUCAAGUCAUCAUGCCCCUUACACCCUGGGCUACACACGUACUACAAUGCUACGGACAAAGGGCAGCAAACUCGCGAGAGCUAGCAAAUCCCAUAAACCGUGGCUCAGUUCAGAUCGUAGGCUGCAACUCGCCUACGUGAAGUAGGAAUCGCUAGUAAUCGCAGGUCAGCAUACUGCGGUGAAUACGUUCCCGGGCCUUGUACACACCGCCCGUCACACCAUGGAAGUUGGCCAUGCCCGAAGUCGUUACUCCAACCCUUGUGGAGGAGGACGCCGAAGGUGGGGCUAAUGACUGGGGUGAAGUCAUAACAAGGUAGCCGUA
Molecule: ribosomal RNA, 663 nt
Filed under: uncultured bacterium
Lineage: Bacteria
Description: bacterial SSU rRNA
Rfam family: Bacterial small subunit ribosomal RNA
Source: RNAcentral